RNAcentral lists this ribosomal RNA (253 nucleotides) under uncultured bacterium. Its description in RNAcentral is "partial 16S ribosomal RNA". It matches the Rfam family "Bacterial small subunit ribosomal RNA", at positions 524 to 776 of the family's 1533-position model. The record is from RNAcentral.
UACGUAGGGGGCAAGCGUUGUCCGGAAUCAUUGGGCGUAAAGAGCGCGUAGGCGGCCCGGUAAGUCCGCUGUGAAAUCUCGAGGCUCAACUUCGAGCUGUCGGUGGAAACUGUCUGGCUAGAGUCCGGAAGAGGAGAAUGGAAUUCCUGGUGUAGCGGUGAAAUGCGCAGAUAUCAGGAGGAACACCAAUAGCGAAGGCAGCUCGCUGGGACGUGACUGACGCUGAGACGCGAAAGCGUGGGGAGCAAACAGG